UACAGAGGGUGCAAGCGUUAAUCGGAAUUACUGGGCGUAAAGCGCACGUAGGUGGAUAUUUAAGUUAGAUGUGAAAGCCCCGGGCUCAACCUGGGAAUGCCAUUUAAAACUGGGUAUCUAGAGUAUGGUAGAGGGUAGUGGAAUUUCCAGUGUAGCGGUGAAAUGCGUAGAUAUUGGAAGGAACAUCAGUGGCGAAGGCGACUACCUGGACUAAUACUGACACUGAGGUGCGAAAGCGUGGGUAGCGAACAGG
This 253-nucleotide ribosomal RNA is filed under the name uncultured bacterium. RNAcentral describes it as "partial 16S ribosomal RNA". It matches the Rfam family "Bacterial small subunit ribosomal RNA", at positions 524 to 776 of the family's 1533-position model. The record is from RNAcentral.